UCAGUACCGUGAGGGAAAGGCGAAAAGAACCCCGGGAGGGGAGUGAAAUAGAUCCUGAAACCGCAUGCUUACAAAAAGUCGGAGCCCUUUGGGGUGACGGCGUACCUUUUGUAUAAUGGGUCAGCGACUUACAUUCAGUGGCAAGCUUAACCGAGUAGGGAAGGCGCAGGGAAACCGAGUCCGAACAGGGCGAUUUCAGUCGCUGGGUGUAGACCCGAAACCAGGUGAUCUAUCCAUGGCCAGGAUGAAGGUGCCGUAACAGGUACUGGAGGUCCGAACCCACUACUGUUGCAAAAGUAGGGGAUGAGCUGUGGAUAGGGGUGAAAGGCUAAACAAACCUGGAAAUAGCUGGUUCUCUCCGAAAACUAUUUAGGUAGUGCCUCAAGUAUCACCAUCGGGGGUAGAGCACUGUUAUGGCUAGGGGGUCAUCGCGACUUACCAAACCAUUGCAAACUCCGAAUACCAGUACGUACUAUCCGGGAGACACACGGCGGGUGCUAACGUCCGUCGUGAAAAGGGAAACAACCCAGACCCACAGCUAAGGUCCCAAAUUCACUGCUAAGUGGAAAACGAUGUGGAAAGGCAUAGACAGCCAGGAGGUUGGCUUAGAAGCAGCCACCCUUUAAAGAAAGCGUAAUAGCUCACUAGUCGAGUCGGCCUGCGCGGAAGAUGUAACGGGGCUAAAUCAUUCACCGAAGCUGCGGACUUGUGCUUGCACAAGUGGUAGAGGAGCGUUCUGUAAGCCGUUGAAGGUAAACCGGGAGGUUUGCUGGAGGUAUCAGAAGUGCGAAUGCUGACAUGAGUAACGAUAAGGGGAGUGAAAAACUUCCCCGCCGAAAGACCAAGGGUUCCUAUCCCAUGCUAAUCAGGGUAGGGUGAGUCGACUCCUAAGGCGAGGCUGAAAAGCGUAGUCGAUGGGAAACGGGUUAAUAUUCCCGUACCGACCAAUACUGCGAUGGGGUGACGGAGAAAGCUAGGCAAGCGCGGCGUUGGUAGUCCGCGUGAAAGUAAGUAGGCUGAGAGACUAGGCAAAUCCGGUUUCUUAAGGCUGAGAUACGAGACGAGUGUCUAAGGACACGAAGUUGUUGACGCUAUGCUUCCAGGAAAAACCUCUAAGCUUCAGGUAUUGGUGAUCGUACCCGAAACCGACACAGGUGGUCAGGUAGAGAAUACUCAGGCGCUUGAGAGAACUCGGGUGAAGGAACUAGGCAACAUGGCACCGUAACUUCGGGAGAAGGU
RNAcentral lists this ribosomal RNA (1239 nucleotides) under Aurantiochytrium limacinum. RNAcentral describes it as "partial Bacterial large subunit ribosomal RNA". It matches the Rfam family "Bacterial large subunit ribosomal RNA", at positions 495 to 1747 of the family's 2925-position model. Lineage: Eukaryota; Bigyra; Thraustochytrida; Thraustochytriidae. The record is from RNAcentral.